This 240-nucleotide ribosomal RNA is filed under the name uncultured bacterium. RNAcentral describes it as "partial 16S ribosomal RNA". It matches the Rfam family "Bacterial small subunit ribosomal RNA", at positions 923 to 1171 of the family's 1533-position model. The record is from RNAcentral.
GCACAAGCAGUGGAGUAUGUGGUUUAAUUCGACGCAACGCGAAGAACCUUACCAAGUCUUGACAUCCCUUGACGAUGCUGGAAACAGUAUUUCUCUUCGGAGCAAGGAGACAGGUGGUGCAUGGUUGUCGUCAGCUCGUGUCGUGAGAUGUUGGGUUAAGUCCCGCAACGAGCGCAACCCUUAUUGCCAGUUACUACGCAAGAGGACUCUGGCGAGACUGCCGUUGACAAAACGGAGGAA